RNAcentral lists this ribosomal RNA (507 nucleotides) under uncultured bacterium. RNAcentral describes it as "partial 16S ribosomal RNA". It matches the Rfam family "Bacterial small subunit ribosomal RNA", at positions 28 to 523 of the family's 1533-position model. The record is from RNAcentral.
GAUGAACGCUAGCGGCAGGCCUAACACAUGCAAGUCGAGGGGUAACUUGAUUGAUAGCAAUAUUAAUUAAGCUAGACCGGCGCACGGGUGCGUAACACGUAUGCAAUCUACCUUAUACAGGGGCAUAACUUCGAGAAAUCGAUGCUAAUUCCCCAUAAAACUGUGAAGUGGCAUCACUUUAUAGUUAAAGCUCAGGCGGUAUAAGAUGAGCAUGCGUCAAAUUAGCUAGUAGGCGAGGUAACGGCUCACCUAGGCUACGAUUGGUAUGGGUUCUGAGAGGAUGAUCCCCCACACUGGUACUGAGACACGGACCAGACUCCUACGGGAGGCAGCAGUGAGGAAUAUUGCGCAAUGGACGAAAGUCUGACGCAGCCAUGCCGCGUGAAGGAUUGAAGGCCCUAUGGGUUGUAAACUUCUUUUGUACGGGAAUAAACGCUCCCUCGUGAGGGAGCCUGAAGGUACCGUAAGAAUAAGCACCGGCUAACUCCGUGCCAGCCGCCGCGGUAA